Podarcis lilfordi (Lilford's wall lizard) is the source of this 69-nucleotide non-coding RNA. The record is from the annotation of a GenBank genome assembly. NCBI's taxonomy places the organism in Eukaryota, Metazoa, Chordata, Lepidosauria, Squamata, Lacertidae.
GGAUCAUAGCUCUGGCGGAGCACCUGCUUUGCAUGCAGAAGGUUCCAGGUUCAAUCCCUGGCAUCUCCA